This 74-nucleotide transfer RNA is filed under the name Candidatus Doudnabacteria bacterium RIFCSPHIGHO2_01_FULL_50_67. Its description in RNAcentral is "tRNA-Ala". It matches the Rfam family "tRNA". Rfam says of the family: Transfer RNA (tRNA) molecules are approximately 80 nucleotides in length. Their secondary structure includes four short double-helical elements and three loops (D, anti-codon, and T loops). The record is from RNAcentral. Lineage: Bacteria; Candidatus Doudnaibacteriota. RNAcentral also lists the same sequence under 5 other names.
GGGCCUGUAGCAUAGUGGUAGUGCAGUCGGUUUGCAUCCGACAGGCGCGAGUCCGAUUCUCGCCAGGUCCACCA